Molecule: ribosomal RNA, 303 nt
Filed under: uncultured bacterium
Lineage: Bacteria
Description: bacterial SSU rRNA
Rfam family: Bacterial small subunit ribosomal RNA
Source: RNAcentral
UGGGGAAUAUUGGGCAAUGGGCGCAAGCCUGACCCAGCAACGCCGCGUGAAGGAAGAAGGCUUUCGGGUUGUAAACUUCUUUUAAGGGGGAAGAGCAGAAGACGGUACCCCUUGAAUAAGCCACGGCUAACUACGUGCCAGCAGCCGCGGUAAUACGUAGGUGGCAAGCGUUGUCCGGAUUUACUGGGUGUAAAGGGCGUGCAGCCGGGACUGCAAGUCAGAUGUGAAAUCCGCGGGCUUAACCCGCGAACUGCAUUUGAAACUGCGGAUCUUGAGUACCGGAGAGGUUAUCGGAAUUCCUUG